This 240-nucleotide long non-coding RNA is filed under the name Daucus carota (carrot). Its description in RNAcentral is "long non-coding RNA (DCAR_LNC007687)". Lineage: Eukaryota; Viridiplantae; Streptophyta; Magnoliopsida; Apiales; Apiaceae. The record is from RNAcentral.
GAGAAUAUUUCUUCAUUUUCAAAAUGCAGUUCUUCAUGAUCAUCCAUAUCUGUUAGACCCAUUAUUCUUUUGUCAUCAAAUGACACAUGUAUGGAUUCCAUGAUCACCUUGGUUCUUAGAUUAUAGACUCUGAAGGCCUUUGUUAUGAUAGGAUAACCUACAAAAAUGCCUUCAUCAGCUUUUAAAUCAAACUUGGUAAGCUGUUCUGGAUGAGUCUUCAAUACAAAGCAUUUGCACCCA